This 447-nucleotide ribosomal RNA is filed under the name uncultured bacterium. RNAcentral describes it as "bacterial SSU rRNA". It matches the Rfam family "Bacterial small subunit ribosomal RNA", at positions 329 to 793 of the family's 1533-position model. The record is from RNAcentral.
UACCAGACUCCUACGGGAGGCAGCAGUGGGGAAUAUUGCACAAUGGGGGAAACCCUGAUGCAGCGACGCCGCGUGAGCGAUGAAGUAUUUCGGUAUGUAAAGCUCUAUCAGCAGGGAAGAAAAUGACGGUACCUGACUAAGAAGCCCCGGCUAACUACGUGCCAGCAGCCGCGGUAAUACGUAGGGGGCAAGCGUUAUCCGGAUUUACUGGGUGUAAAGGGAGCGUAGACGGCAUUGCAAGUCCGGAGUGAAAGCCCGCGGCCCAACCGUGGGACUGCUCUGGAAACUGUAGAGCUGGAGUGCGGGAGGGGCAGGCGGAAUUCCUAGUGUAGCGGUGAAAUGCGUAGAUAUUAGGAGGAACACCGGCGGCGAAGGCGGCCUGCUGGACCGUAACUGACGUUGAGGCUCGAAAGCGUGGGGAGCAAACAGGAUUAGAUACCCGCGUAA